GUUAUAGGAUCAAGUGACUAAGUGUAUGUGGUGGAUGCCUUGGCGAUUACAGGCGAUGAAGGACGUGGCAGUCUGCGAAAAGCCGUGGGGAGCUGACAACGAGCAUUGAACCAUGGAUAUCCGAAUGAGGGAACUCACCUGCAAAGGUAUCCUUAAGUGAAUACAUAGCUUAAGGAGGCGAACGUAGUGAACUGAAACAUCUAAGUAGCUACAGGAAAAGAAAUCAACCGAGAUUGCGCUAGUAGCGGCGAGCGAAUGCGCAACAGCCUAAUGCUUGAUAACAAAACACACAGUAGAACGAUCUGGAAAGUUCGGCUAUAGAGGGUGAUAGCCCCGUAUAUGAAAUGAGUUUUGUGGUACUAAGAGCAUGAGAAGUAGGGCGGGACACGUGACAUCCUGCUCGAAGAUGGGGGGACCAUCCUCCAAGGCUAAAUACUCGUAAUCGACCGAUAGUGAACCAGUACCGUGAGGGAAAGGCGAAAAGAACCCCGGGAGGGGAGUGAAAUAGAAUCUGAAACCGCAUACAUACAAACAGUAGGAGCC
RNAcentral lists this ribosomal RNA (543 nucleotides) under Parasutterella secunda. RNAcentral describes it as "partial 23S ribosomal RNA". It matches the Rfam family "Bacterial large subunit ribosomal RNA", at positions 1 to 581 of the family's 2925-position model. Lineage: Bacteria; Pseudomonadati; Pseudomonadota; Betaproteobacteria; Burkholderiales; Sutterellaceae. The record is from RNAcentral.